Molecule: long non-coding RNA, 2803 nt
Organism: Catharus ustulatus (Swainson's thrush)
Lineage: Eukaryota; Metazoa; Chordata; Aves; Passeriformes; Turdidae
Exons: 2
Source: RefSeq, a predicted model, not a curated record
UCUGCGGCAAAUCCUCCCCGCGGCGGCCCCCGGAAGCAGGAAGGACGCGGGGGGCGAACAACGCCCCGAGGGGACGCCGAGGAGUGCGCCCCGCGCCCUGGCUGUGCCCCGGCCGCGGGACCCCGGCGCCGCGCCCCUCCAUCCCUUGUUCCCGUGCCCCUCGGGGCGUCACCCUGCCGGCCGGUCACCCUGGGGCCCGUCCCGGGUCCCAGCCUUCAAAUGAGGCCGUGAGCACCCGCAGGUGACAAUGGCCUGGCAGACUUGGGGAGCUCGUGUGGGAAAGCCGGCAUCGGGACUAGCAGCGCUCCAGACGCGGAUGAAAAAGCAGUGCCGUUGCCCAAAGCCAGUUGUCCUCUCCUACAUCUUGCUGUAGCACUGCAGCAAAAUUUGAGUCAUACUUAAACACACACCCUCACCCAGCAAUCUAAAUGUUCUUGUUAAGUUUUUAAAUUUGAAAGCAGUUCACUUAGUAAGAUACUGCACACUUAGCCUUUCUGCACGUAUUCAAUGCCCAUGGAUCUACAACACCAGAAAAACACUGGUUUUGGACAGUGGGCUGAAACCUGUAUUCUUAGCUUAUUCAAAGCUAAAGUUCAAAGGGCUUUGGUAAGUAAUGUUGACCAGUCUCAAGCAACUCCAGGGAGCAAUGAUAGCAGAAAACUUACACAAUGACAGAACCAAAGGUUUAAUUUCUCUUUUCACAGAUACUAAUCUAUACCCCAAUGCUCAGUGAUAACCACCUUUGAAAAGUGUGUUACUCUCUCCUAAUGUAGGAUAGAGAAGUCAAAUCUGAGAUGUUUCUCUCCCUUUACUGACCUAAGCAAGCCACUCAUUUCCACUAAGCCUCUUGUUUAUAUGGCUCAAGUGAUGUGGGAUAAAUUUCACUGUGACAUAGGUAAGGAUGUAAACUUUUAUAGCUUGGUUUUUAAGAUAAUCUCUUGUCCCUGGCUGAGAAGACAUUUCCUUUGUCUGCACCUUCUUACAGUGCUGGGUGUGCAAAUUCUCUGCCUACUGCUCAGGAACAGAGUGCUUGCCUGGAUGAACCGGUGCAUAAGUCUCGUCUUCUUUUGUUCCAGGGCACAGUGGACUAAUUCGCAGGCAUUUCAGGUUGUCACGACUAAGCUUUUUUGUCUUACUAGCCUAGAGGCUACAGUUUCAACCCACAAAGGUUCGAACAGGGUCAUUAUAAGUACUGGUCCAUAGUGUUGUAUCUGUCUAUAGCACCUAGUGGUUUUGAUAUGUAUAGUUCCUCUGCAGAAAUACAGCACUCAGAGUCUUGGCUUACAUAGUGUGCUGUGCUUGGGUGUUGCAUCCAGAGCAGACAUUUUCUGAACUGUCGUUAUUCUGAAGGUUGUAGAGUAUGGGCAAGAGUUUUCUCAUCCAUGUCAGGUGGCUGAGAUGACACAGUGGUAAAGGGCAGCAGUGCUUAUUCUUCAUUAGAGCUGACACUGCUGAUAGAACAAAUACAGUGGCAUAGAUGCAGAAGAACUAGCAGCAGUUUUAAGGUAUGCAAGGUUUUCAAAGGUACCGUAUGUUGCUCUUUGGAUAUUCUUGUUCAUCUGGCCCUUUGCUGUUUCCUUGCUAAUCCUAUCAGGUUCCAAGAGAUGGUGAAGGUGCCUACUUAGGAGUAAUGUCCAUGCCCUAUGGCCUUUUCCUAUAUGACCCCCUUCCUAAUAAUUUAUUAUAAUUACAGAUACCUUCAAGACUUGCCACGUGGUGCCCACUGGAGAAAGACAGCUGCAGACUUCCAUCACUGCAAUGAUAUACAUAGUUUUGGGAUAUGCCUUUAUUUCAAUCACCAACAAGAGCAGCUAGCCUCUCAAGCAUGGAAGGGGCUUGCCAAGGGGACUUGCCAACUGUUUGCAGAAUAGACAAUGGUUCCUGGACAUAAAGGCAGUCUAAGGAAAAGUGGAAACAUAGCUGAGAAGAUGUCUAUGAAUUUUGAAAAGAGCUGAAAAGAAUGCAUUUUAGAAGAGAAUAAAAUGCUUACAUACAGGUAGGUAAUACAAUUACAUUUGAAAUAGCCUGCUCAGGUAGUCCUCUAUUUUAUACUGCACUGUAAAACAACAUGCAGUUAGAAAAUGGUAUGAUAAAAGAUGAACUGUUACAGUCAAGCUGUCUUGUGAUUGGUGAUGUGUCACACAUUAAAACCCUGAGGGCAACAGAUUUUCUUUGGAAAAAAAUUAUUUUGUGCUAAACUUUGAAAGGAUGCAGACCUCUGACCUUGUCUAUUCACAAGCAUAUACUACAUCAUCUGAGAUGGAAGGUAGACAAGAAAGGUGCUUCAUCCUCCUGAACAUACCUCUGAGGAAGCUGCAGGGUCCCAGCUUUAUAGCCACUGUUCACACUCUGACUUGCUCUGUCGGUAUCUCAGUCAGGUAGAUUUGUUAACUUUCCCUCCUUGAAAACUAAUUUAUGUUCUGCAGUAUGGAGCAUCAGGUCCACUGCUGAGUAAAAUGUGGAGAUACACUGCAUAAAACUGACUUAGUGACCCUCACUGUUUCAGAGUGAUACCACCUGCCUAUCUGCAGCUUAAUCACACAGAUAUGCCCCUUCAGUAGAAGAAACAGCAACAUUCAUGGGCUUUGAAAUAUAUCUCUCUGUUUCAAAGAGACAGUGAUUGAGACCCGCGCCUGUCUGGCUUUUGAUUGUUUUGGUUGGAUUUUGUAUUUUUAUAAUGUUCAAUAUUAAAUUGGAGUCCCAGAGUGGAAUAUGAUGAAAAACUAUAUGUAGAGCUGUAUUUUUUAGAUGUUGUUUUUUUUAAAGAGGCAGUUUAAAUAAAGUGCUUAAAGUUUAAAACAUG